UUUAUCGGAGAGUUUGAUCCUGGCUCAGGACGAACGCUGGCGGCGUGCCUAAUACAUGCAAGUCGAGCGGACAGAUGGGAGCUUGCUCCCUGAUGUUAGCGGCGGACGGGUGAGUAACACGUGGGUAACCUGCCUGUAAGACUGGGAUAACUCCGGGAAACCGGGGCUAAUACCGGAUGGUUGUUUGAACCGCAUGGUUCAGACAUAAAAGGUGGCUUCGGCUACCACUUACAGAUGGACCCGCGGCGCAUUAGCUAGUUGGUGAGGUAACGGCUCACCAAGGCGACGAUGCGUAGCCGACCUGAGAGGGUGAUCGGCCACACUGGGACUGAGACACGGCCCAGACUCCUACGGGAGGCAGCAGUAGGGAAUCUUCCGCAAUGGACGAAAGUCUGACGGAGCAACGCCGCGUGAGUGAUGAAGGUUUUCGGAUCGUAAAGCUCUGUUGUUAGGGAAGAACAAG
Molecule: ribosomal RNA, 463 nt
Filed under: Bacillus velezensis
Lineage: Bacteria; Bacillati; Bacillota; Bacilli; Caryophanales; Bacillaceae
Description: bacterial SSU rRNA
Rfam family: Bacterial small subunit ribosomal RNA
Source: RNAcentral